This 676-nucleotide ribosomal RNA is filed under the name uncultured archaeon. RNAcentral describes it as "bacterial SSU rRNA". It matches the Rfam family "Archaeal small subunit ribosomal RNA", at positions 102 to 781 of the family's 1478-position model. The record is from RNAcentral.
AGUCAACAUGCCCAGGGGACGCGGAUAACCUCGGGAAACUGAGGAUAAACCGCGAUAAGUCACUACUUCUGGAAUGGGUAAUGACUCAAAUCUACAUGGCCCCUGGAUUGGACUGCGGCCGAUCAGGCUGUUGGUGAGGUAAUGGCCCACCAAACCUGUAACCGGUACGGGCUCUGAGAGGAGGAGCCCGGAGAUGGGCACUGAGACAAGGGCCCAGGCCCUAUGGGGCGCAGCAGGCGCGAAACCUCUGCAAUAGGCGAAAGCCUGACAGGGUUACUCUGAGUGAUUUCCGUUAAGGAGAUCUUUUGGCACCUCUAAAAAUGGUGCAGAAUAAGGGGUGGGCAAGUCUGGUGUCAGCCGCCGCGGUAAUACCAGCACCCCGAGUGGUCGGGACGUUUAUUGGGCCUAAAGCAUCCGUAGCCGGUUCUACAAGUCUUCCGUUAAAUCCACCUGCUUAACAGAUGGGCUGCGGAAGAUACUAUAGAGCUAGGAGGCGGGAGAGGCAAGCGGUACUCGAUGGGUAGGGGUAAAAUCCGUUGAUCCAUUGAAGACCACCAGUGGCGAAGGCGGCUUGCCAGAACGCGCUCGACGGUGAGGGAUGAAAGCUGGGGGAGCAAACCGGAUUAGAUACCCGGGUAGUCCCAGCUGUAAACGAUGCAGACUCGGUGAUGAGUUG